RNAcentral lists this ribosomal RNA (512 nucleotides) under uncultured bacterium. RNAcentral's name for it is "partial 16S ribosomal RNA". It matches the Rfam family "Bacterial small subunit ribosomal RNA", at positions 28 to 507 of the family's 1533-position model. The record is from RNAcentral.
GAUGAACGCUGGCGGCGUGCCUAAUACAUGCAAGUCGAACGAAACUUCUUUAUCACCGAGUGCUUGCACUCACCGAUACAGAGUUGAGUGGCGAACGGGUGAGUAACACGUGGGCAACCUGCCCAAAAGAGGGGGAUAACACUUGGAAACAGGUGCUAAUACCGCAUAACCAUAGUUACCGCAUGGUAACUAUGUAAAAGGUGGCUAUACUACCGCUUUUGGAUGGGCCCGCGGCGCAUUAGCUAGUUGGUAGGGUAAAGGCUUACCAAGGCAAUGAUGCGUAACCGAAUUGAGAGGUUGAUCGGCCACAUUGGGACUGAGACACGGCCCAAACUCCUACGGGAGGCAGCAGUAGGGAAUCUUCCACAAUGGGCGAAAGCCUGAUGGAGCAACGCCGCGUGGGUGAAGAAGGUCUUCGGAUCGUAAAACCCUGUUGUUAGAGAAGAAAGUGCGUGAGAGUAACUGUUCACGUUUCGACGGUAUCUAACCAGAAAGCCACGGCUAACUACGUG